AUUGAACGCUGGCGGCAGGCCUAACACAUGCAAGUCGAGCGGAGCGGCAGACGGGGGCGGAAUGGCUAGGUAUCUGCCUGGUAGUGGGGGAUAACGUCCGGUAACGGGCGCUAAUACCGCAUACUAUCAGAUGAGCCUAGGUCGGAUUGGCUAGUGGGUGGGGUAAAGGCCUAGCAAGGCGACGAUCCCUAACUGGUCUGAGAGGAUGAUCAGUCACACUGGAACUGAGCCACGGUCCAGACUCCUACGGGAGGCAGCAGUGGGGAAUAUUGCACAAUGGGCGAAAGCCUGAUACAGCCAUGCCGCGUGUGUGAAGAAGGUCUUCGGAUUGUAAAGCACUUUAAGUUGGGAGGCGUUACCAACAGAAUAAGCACCGGCUAACUCCGUGCCAGCAGCCGCGGUAAUUC
RNAcentral lists this ribosomal RNA (407 nucleotides) under uncultured bacterium. RNAcentral describes it as "partial 16S ribosomal RNA". It matches the Rfam family "Bacterial small subunit ribosomal RNA", at positions 30 to 526 of the family's 1533-position model. The record is from RNAcentral.